CGCAGUGACCUGGUUUGCAGUUCUAGGUUACAGUCAGUCGUGUUGCUUUGCAGUCAGUUCAAUUUUCAGCCUCGGCUUCAUCCAACCGGAGUCCUCGUCAUGUUUAAGUGUCUGUUUUAUGAUGAUAUCUCUUUACUGUACGUCAGCUUUUUCCUUCAGGUGAUUAAGCUGUUAAAAAACACACCCCCAAACACACGGUGCUACUGUAACUACCCCAGAAGAAAGGUUACCACAUUUCUGUACAAUGUAAAACACUGCAUGGCUGCUCUGUACCGUGGAGAAGGUCUGACGUUGAAACAAAGGCUACAUCUGUGCAGGUUUAGUCGCCUUUUGGUCUGCAUGGUUGUGUUCAUUCUGCUCAUGACAUGUUCCAAUUUUAUUUCUCAUUGGUUGCCAGAUGUCCAUCAUCUUGAGCUGAUCAGCUGUUCCAGAAUUGCUAUGAAUAGCAGUUUAGCUGGAAAACCCCACUGUGAUUUGUUGCAGAUGCCGAAACAAACUGCCUGGUAAUGCAUUUUUUUCGUCCGAAAUAAUGUGAUGAGGCCCACUACAAAAGCGUAGUUCGAAUUUCACUCGAAAGGCAACAGAACAGAAGCAACACUUUUUGACUUGAUGGAACUUCAGUGUCUAUUUUACAACCAGCAGAUUCCAGUUUUCAUGCAUCGUAAAGUUCUACAGUGUGAACAAAACCUUUCACUAACUCCUCGUGUAUUUGUCGAGUAUUUUUCAAACAAGCGAGCGAUGAACCCAUUGAAGGGUCAGGUCUUCGCCACAGUGACGGUCAGACAUCGUCUCUGCCGCCGGUGCUUUCUAUGGUGCUAACAACUCCUCGUUUCAAACUUCUUCAAGAGAGAUUCAGUCAGAGACAGAAAGACGCUGUGCUGCGAUGUUCUCCUCCCGCCUUUUUUCCCCACACGUCUCCUCUCUGUACCUGCUCGAGUCCUUGGGUGUCUUCUCUUGUCAGAGGUGUCUCGCUGUGCUGGUAACGAAGGUGCUGUUUUUUCCCUUUUCCAUUGAUUUUUUGGCUCUACCCUCUUGCCUAGGCUUGCUCUGGAAAGCAAACAGAUGGAUCUUUAAAUAAGUCAUAGACUGUGACGGGGCUGAUGCUGUGAAAAAUAAAAGUAGUGAGAUAUUGGGUGUACUAGCUGCAAUGUCGUGCCUCCAAGAGAAACUCACACUUAUUAUAGGCUUCUCUGGUGAGAUGUUUGCGCCUCUGAGUCAGAUUGACACUUCAAUCUCUAACAGAUAAUUGGCUCCGCAAGACGAGAACAUGCAUGAAAUUUAAAAUCACGCAGAGCUGAUUUUGUUUUAAUGUCCCCAAAUUUCUACGGAGCUCUCGGGAGCUUCGACCUCCUCACCGCCGGCGUGUGGAUUCCACAUUGAGAUGUCAGCGCUGCUAUGCUUGACAGCCAAGCUAAGAGGCUUACAGGAGGCCUGAGCGUGCCUCGCUGCAGAUAGGUGAGGGCAUCGACUCCAAACGGUCUCCGGCAGGAAGCGAGGCCGCCAUCUGUCAGAGCUUCAUCGUCUCUGCUUCGACCUUGACCUCCUGUCAGCCCGUUUGUUAUCUCCUGCGAGGAUCCGAGUGGAGCUCGGGGGGAGUUGCGUGAAAUUUGGAUUGGAGGUGGUUCGGCAGCUUCACGCCGACUGUCAGCGCGAGCACAUCGGAGUUUACUCUCCCACCACGACGUGAAGAUGAGCAAACAAUUCAUUUGUGCUGCUUUGCACGCUUUCUGAGCUCGGAAAUGUCUCAGAAGCUUGCUCUCUGAAGGCGGCGCCAUCCAUUUCAGCUUUUAUUUUCAAGCCUGUUGUUGGCAGCGGAAUCAUUCCUGGCAACUUAAAAUGGCUCUUGUGUGUUUUCUUCACUGUAAUAAGCGUCCACUCUGGGAGUGCGGUAGCUUUCUUUGUUGCCCAGCUCGCUUGUUCUCCCUCAUUUCUGAGUUCUCUGUAAAGCUCGGUAAUCUCACAGGCAGGCUUCGUGUGCGACGGAGAGGGAGACCUCGAGGGUUACUGAAACGGCAACAUGUAGGAAAACACCCCAAAAAACGAUUGUUUGGCCGGAGUGGCUGCCCGCUCUGAAAAGUUCUGAAAAGGGCUUGAAUGUGCUGAAUCGUGUCGCCAUGGGUGGUGCAGUUUGAAGAGCAAACGACUGGUCGAAUUAUGGAUUGUUUUCAAAGAUGACACCUCUUGACAUUUGUGUGCGAGUGCUAGAUUGAACCUUUUGGCUUCAGUAAUUGCCAUGUAAGUUGGGAAAUCGGUCAACAGCUACCAAAUCUAACAGUUUCAUGCUCCCAUGAGCCAUAGCAGGUGUCAUCAGUUUAAAUCUGUCCAGUUUUGUAUUAUUUAUGCUGAAAAAGUGACUUCUGCAGCAGUUUUCUUCAAAGAUUUCCUCUCCUCUUCUAACCUUUUACUUUCACCUCUUUCUUUUUUGUGUGAAAUCUACCUGACUCGUCCAGAAAACGGCUUAAAUUAUGACUUUGCAAUUGAACACCCCUCUUUUUUUGUAUUAAUCCAAGUGUGUUAAUGUCUGCGCAAUGCUCUGUCCAUGUAUAACAAAUGCAUAGGUUGCGUUUCUAGGUCAAGUGCGAAAAACAAAAAAGCAAAAAAAAAAAAACAAAAAAGGAAUAGUGUGAAUCUGGCAAUGUGGUUAUUGUAUUUGCAAGGAAAAUGUGCAAUAUACGGUUCUCAGAUGGUUCCAGGUUUCAGUGUAGAACUCCAUUUUUAAUUUUUUAAUAUUCUUUUUGCUAUCAUUUUUUCCAGUCAGUUCCUCAGGUCACUAAAUGCCUUCUGGUCCUGAGGGUGACCAGGGAAUCUCAGAACAUACACUAAUGCACCCAAAAUACAAGCGACUGGAUUUUAUUUUAGUCUUGUCUCUCUCUCCUUUUCUUUUCUCCCCCAUUUGUUGCAAACAAAUUUCUUAGAUUUUGCUUUUUUUUAUUUUCAGGUUAACACAGGCACUUAAUCGGGUGUCCUUUUCCUUGCCUCCUUUUUGUAUUAUUGUUAUUUAUUGCACAUGUAAUGAACUGGUUUCCAUUGCCACAUUUAAUUCCAAGGAGUUUUGGGUCUAGAGUGGGGCUGGAAUUUCUUACGUACAAAACUACAGAAGCUUUUGUCAAAACCUAAGUGUGUAUUUCAUCAAUAAAUGCCUUUAAAAGUG
Amphiprion ocellaris (clown anemonefish) is the source of this 3151-nucleotide long non-coding RNA. The record is from Ensembl. Lineage: Eukaryota; Metazoa; Chordata; Actinopteri; Pomacentridae.